GGGGAUAUAGCUCAGUUGGUAAGAGUGCUUGCCUAGCAUGCACAAGGCCCUGGGUUCAAUCCCCAGCAUCAUUA
Molecule: transfer RNA, 74 nt
Filed under: Ictidomys tridecemlineatus (thirteen-lined ground squirrel)
Lineage: Eukaryota; Metazoa; Chordata; Mammalia; Rodentia; Sciuridae
Description: Spermophilus tridecemlineatus (thirteen-lined ground squirrel) tRNA
Rfam family: tRNA
About the family: Transfer RNA (tRNA) molecules are approximately 80 nucleotides in length. Their secondary structure includes four short double-helical elements and three loops (D, anti-codon, and T loops).
Source: Rfam by way of RNAcentral